UGAAGAAUAAAUACAGUAAAGCUAUAUUGCCAUUAUGAUGAUGAAGACGGCCUGCAAGAACUAUAAGAAUUUUCUCAAAAUUUUGAGAAAAAGACUUUUGCUGUGCAGCAAGCCAGUCGGAUUAUUUGCACAAAAUAACUUUGAAGGAGGUUUCAAUAAAGAGGAAAAUGCAAGGAGAGGUUUACCAAAAGAUCCUAGUGUUAAAGGAAAUGUACUUGCCAGAAUUGAAUGAAAUGUACCAGAAAAUUGCUAAUAAACUUCAGAAGAGUCCAAACCAUAGUAUAGAGCAUUUUUUUGAACUCAUACUUGUUCAAAAUAUAAGGUUGACUCUCUUCCACAGCAAGCAAAGUCAGACGUAUUUAUGAAACUGAAGUUAUUUAAAGCAAUAUUGGAGCGUCUUACGGCAAUCCUGCAUAUUUUGAGAGUGACAUACCUCCUGGCAUGAGCAAGAAAUUAACUUUAUAUGAGAAGCAAAUUAUCAAUUUUAUAAAUAUGAAUAGGCCAAAGAGUAAUCUAGCAGUGCAAAGUCCCAUCAUCUCCCCAAGUUCUGUAGCAUCAUCUAGUAGCUAAUGCACCAUCAUGAUGGAUGAUCACUAGUCUUGUUAUGGUAUGGAGGUGUGAAUUUUGGAGUUGACAUUGCAAUCUUUUAAAAGAUGAAAUCUUUUUACUUUGUCAGAAGGUGGCAGCCUUCAUCAACUUCUUGUUAAUUUACAACUUGAUUAGUAUAUCUUUGAUGGAUUUGUAACUCUAAAAGGUUUGACUUGUAACU
Molecule: long non-coding RNA, 769 nt
Organism: Prosopis cineraria
Lineage: Eukaryota; Viridiplantae; Streptophyta; Magnoliopsida; Fabales; Fabaceae
Exons: 6
Source: RefSeq, a predicted model, not a curated record